Molecule: ribosomal RNA, 1409 nt
Filed under: Enterococcus durans
Lineage: Bacteria; Bacillati; Bacillota; Bacilli; Lactobacillales; Enterococcaceae
Description: bacterial SSU rRNA
Rfam family: Bacterial small subunit ribosomal RNA
Source: RNAcentral
AGUCGUACGCUUCUUUUUCCACCGGAGCUUGCUCCACCGGAAAAAGAAGAGUGGCGAACGGGUGAGUAACACGUGGGUAACCUGCCCAUCAGAAGGGGAUAACACUUGGAAACAGGUGCUAAUACCGUAUAACAAUCGAAACCGCAUGGUUUUGAUUUGAAAGGCGCUUUCGGGUGUCGCUGAUGGAUGGACCCGCGGUGCAUUAGCUAGUUGGUGAGGUAACGGCUCACCAAGGCCACGAUGCAUAGCCGACCUGAGAGGGUGAUCGGCCACAUUGGGACUGAGACACGGCCCAAACUCCUACGGGAGGCAGCAGUAGGGAAUCUUCGGCAAUGGACGAAAGUCUGACCGAGCAACGCCGCGUGAGUGAAGAAGGUUUUCGGAUCGUAAAACUCUGUUGUUAGAGAAGAACAAGGAUGAGAGUAACUGUUCAUCCCUUGACGGUAUCUAACCAGAAAGCCACGGCUAACUACGUGCCAGCAGCCGCGGUAAUACGUAGGUGGCAAGCGUUGUCCGGAUUUAUUGGGCGUAAAGCGAGCGCAGGCGGUUUCUUAAGUCUGAUGUGAAAGCCCCCGGCUCAACCGGGGAGGGUCAUUGGAAACUGGGAGACUUGAGUGCAGAAGAGGAGAGUGGAAUUCCAUGUGUAGCGGUGAAAUGCGUAGAUAUAUGGAGGAACACCAGUGGCGAAGGCGGCUCUCUGGUCUGUAACUGACGCUGAGGCUCGAAAGCGUGGGGAGCAAACAGGAUUAGAUACCCUGGUAGUCCACGCCGUAAACGAUGAGUGCUAAGUGUUGGAGGGUUUCCGCCCUUCAGUGCUGCAGCUAACGCAUUAAGCACUCCGCCUGGGGAGUACGACCGCAAGGUUGAAACUCAAAGGAAUUGACGGGGGCCCGCACAAGCGGUGGAGCAUGUGGUUUAAUUCGAAGCAACGCGAAGAACCUUACCAGGUCUUGACAUCCUUUGACCACUCUAGAGAUAGAGCUUCCCCUUCGGGGGCAAAGUGACAGGUGGUGCAUGGUUGUCGUCAGCUCGUGUCGUGAGAUGUUGGGUUAAGUCCCGCAACGAGCGCAACCCUUAUUGUUAGUUGCCAUCAUUUAGUUGGGCACUCUAGCAAGACUGCCGGUGACAAACCGGAGGAAGGUGGGGAUGACGUCAAAUCAUCAUGCCCCUUAUGACCUGGGCUACACACGUGCUACAAUGGGAAGUACAACGAGUCGCGAAGUCGCGAGGCUAAGCUAAUCUCUUAAAGCUUCUCUCAGUUCGGAUUGUAGGCUGCAACUCGCCUACAUGAAGCCGGAAUCGCUAGUAAUCGCGGAUCAGCACGCCGCGGUGAAUACGUUCCCGGGCCUUGUACACACCGCCCGUCACACCACGAGAGUUUGUAACACCCGAAGUCGGUGAGGUAACCU